This 154-nucleotide ribosomal RNA is filed under the name Oncorhynchus mykiss (rainbow trout). Its description in RNAcentral is "5.8S ribosomal RNA (ENSOMYG00000076637.1)". It matches the Rfam family "5.8S ribosomal RNA". Rfam says of the family: 5.8S ribosomal RNA (5.8S rRNA) is a component of the large subunit of the eukaryotic ribosome. It is transcribed by RNA polymerase I as part of the 45S precursor that also contains 18S and 28S rRNA. Functionally, it is thought that 5.8S rRNA may be involved in ribosome translocation. Lineage: Eukaryota; Metazoa; Chordata; Actinopteri; Salmoniformes; Salmonidae. The record is from RNAcentral.
ACUCUUUAGCGGUGGAUCACUCGCUCGUGAGUCGAUGAAGACGCAGCUAGCUGCGAGAACUAAUGUGAAUUGCAGGACACAUUGAUCAUUGACACUUCGAACGCACUUUGCGGCCCCCCAGGUUCCUCCUGGGGCUAACCCUGUCGGGGUCGCU